GAUGAACGCUGGCGGCGUGCCUAAUACAUGCAAGUCGAGCGAACAGACGAGGAGCUUGCUCCUCUGCCGUUAGCGGCGGACGGGUGAGUAACACGUGGAUCACCUACCUAUAAGACUGGGAUAACUUCGGGAAACCGGAGCUAAUACCGGAUAAUAUAUUGAACCGCAUGGUUCAAUAGUGCUAGACGGUUUUGCUGUCACUUAUAGCUGGAUCCGCGCCGCAUUAGCUAGUUGGUAAGGUAACGGCUUACCAAGGCAACGAUGCGUAGCCGACCUGAGAGGGUGAUCGGCCACACGGGAACUGAGACACGGUCCAGACUCCUACGGGAGGCAGCAGUAGGGAAUCUGCCGCAAUGGGCGAAAGCUUGACGGAGCAACGCCGAGUGAGUGAUGAAGGUCUUCGGAUCGUAAAACUCUGUUAUUAGGGAAGAACAAAUGUGUAAGUAACUAUGCACGUCUUGACGGUACCUAAUCAGAAAGCCACGGCUAACUACGUG
Molecule: ribosomal RNA, 497 nt
Filed under: uncultured bacterium
Lineage: Bacteria
Description: partial 16S ribosomal RNA
Rfam family: Bacterial small subunit ribosomal RNA
Source: RNAcentral